GAACGCAUAUUGCACCCUCAGGUCUUUUCCAGAGGGUAUGCCUGUUUGAGUGUCAUUAAUACAUCAAUGUAGACUUGUCUUUUGACUUUCUCUACACUUGGAAGUUGAAGGCUUGCUGGUUGUCAUGAUCAGCUCCUUUGAAAAGUAUUAGUGGACCCGUUUGUGUUCAUCCUUAGUGUGAUAAUUAUCUACGCUAUGGCUUUGAAUGCAUGCUCAUUAGAAUCUUCGAGCUGUUUUACUGCAGUCUUGGUGUGGAGAGUUGCAUGAAUUUGCUCUUUCUGUCUCUUGAGUCAGGAUUGUCUGCUUCAAACCGUCUACAUUGUAGACAAUUUUGAACCAUUUGACCUCAAAUCAGGUAGGAUUACCCGCUGAACUUAAG
This 379-nucleotide unclassified non-coding RNA is filed under the name uncultured fungus. Its description in RNAcentral is "sequence contains 5.8S rRNA gene". Lineage: Eukaryota; Fungi. The record is from RNAcentral.